AUUGAACGCUGGCGGCAUGCCUUAUACAUGCCAGUCGAGCGACAGCACGGGGACAGCCCUCCUCUCACGUGGCGGACGGAUGGGUAAUACACCCGAACGUGCCCGAUCGUGGGGAAUAACGUAACGUCAGGUACCCUAAUCUCGUAUCCGAUAUUAUGUUGAACGCGAUGGUCCUUCAGUGCUCGCGCGAUUGGCGCUGCCGGUGACAGAUUAGGUAGUUGGUUGGGUAAAGGCUUACCAAGCCGACGAUCUGUAGCUGGUCUGAGAGGACGACCAGCCACACUGGGACUGAGACACGGCCCAGACUCCUACGGGAGGCAGCAGUGGGGAAUCUUGCGCAAUGGGCGCAAGCCUGAUCCAGCCACGCCGCGUGCAGGAUGAAGGUCUUCGGGUUGUAAACUGCUUUUGUUCGGAACGAAAAGGCGUUGGCUAAUACAUGCGGGUCAUGACGGUACCGAAAGAAUAAGCACCGGCUAACUACGUG
RNAcentral lists this ribosomal RNA (484 nucleotides) under uncultured bacterium. RNAcentral describes it as "partial 16S ribosomal RNA". It matches the Rfam family "Bacterial small subunit ribosomal RNA", at positions 30 to 507 of the family's 1533-position model. The record is from RNAcentral.